Molecule: long non-coding RNA, 590 nt
Filed under: Calidris pugnax (ruff)
Lineage: Eukaryota; Metazoa; Chordata; Aves; Charadriiformes; Scolopacidae
Description: lncRNA (ENSCPUG00000009075.1)
Source: RNAcentral
UGGCUUUUGUUUCUCCUGGUCCAUUUGACUGGGAGUUUGUGAGCAAGACACCUUGUCUUCACCAAACCACGUUCCUUUCCUUUCAGUAGUGGUUGGGGCAGGGCUGGCUGUAUUUCGGGCUAAUUCUAUCCUGAGCUGUUAGUUUCUAGUCAGUGACCAUUCCCUGCCACUUCGCACGGGUUACUGUAUAUGGUGUGGGCUUCUGUUAGGUUUUCCAGUCUGUUCUUCCCUUUUUUGUUGUUUGGGUCUCCAGUUUGUAUUGAAAUGCCUUAUUAUUCAACGAGAUUUCCCACCAUGAGGCCACUGGCACCAGUGUGUAAAGCUUGUGCCAAUCACUGUCAGGUGUUUUUGGAAAGACAGACCCCUAGGAAAGGUGGUGGGCUCCUUGGAGGAAGAACUCUGUGCCCAGCUGGCUCCUGGGGAAAUGGACUGUUCUUAGCAUUUCUCAUGUCAAUGUUUUUACUAGCAUUUCUUUCUGUUUUAUGAUUAUUUCCUGUUCUUAAUGUGUUGUGUUCUGUAUGUCAUAGCAAGCUUUUAAGUCUUUGUUUUGUAGAUAAUGGUAAAUAAAUUUUUUCUGAGUUGUUUUUUCA